CCUACGGGAGGCAGCAGUAAGGAAUAUUGGUCAAUGGACGCAAGUCUGAACCAGCCAUGCCGCGUGAAGGAUGAAGGCCCUCUGGGUUGUAAACUUCUUUUAUAGGGGAAGAAACCCAUCUUUUCUAAGGUGGUUGACGGUACCCUAGGAAUAAGCACCGGCUAACUCCGUGCCAGCAGCCGCGGUAAUACGGAGGGUGCAAGCGUUAUCCGGAUUCACUGGGUUUAAAGGGUGCGUAGGUGGGUCUGUAAGUCAGUGGUGAAAUCUCCGAGCUUAACUCGGAAACUGCCAUUGAUACUAUAGAUCUUGAAUUUUCUGGAGGUUAGCGGAAUAUGUCAUGUAGCGGUGAAAUGCUUAGAUAUGACAUAGAACACCAAUUGCGAAGGCAGCUGGCUACAGGAAUAUUGACACUGAGGCACGAAAGCGUGGGGAUCAAACAGGAUUAGAUACCCUGGUAGUCCACGCCCUAAACGAUGGAUACUCGACAUUUGUGAUACACAAUAAGUGUCUGAGNGAAGACAUAAGUAUCCACCUCGGAGACGACGCGAGUAGAACGUACAANAGAGUUAGACGGCGUGAGACGUAGACCGACGGACGACGACGAGGGAGGAGG
Molecule: ribosomal RNA, 613 nt
Filed under: uncultured bacterium
Lineage: Bacteria
Description: bacterial SSU rRNA
Rfam family: Bacterial small subunit ribosomal RNA (bases 1-533)
Source: RNAcentral